RNAcentral lists this ribosomal RNA (500 nucleotides) under uncultured bacterium. Its description in RNAcentral is "bacterial SSU rRNA". It matches the Rfam family "Bacterial small subunit ribosomal RNA", at positions 8 to 528 of the family's 1533-position model. The record is from RNAcentral.
AGAGUUUGAUCAUGGCUCAGAUUGAACGCUGGCGGCAUGCCUUACACAUGCAAGUCGAGCGGCAGCGCGGGGGCAACCCUGGCGGCGAGCGGCGAACGGGUGAGUAAUGCAUCGGAACGUGUCCUCUUGUGGGGGAUAACCAGUCGAAAGACUGGCUAAUACCGCAUGAGAUCGAGAGAUGAAAGCAGGGGACCGCAAGGCCUUGCGCGAGAGGAGCGGCCGAUGCCCGAUUAGCUAGUUGGUGAGGUAACGGCUCACCAAGGCGACGAUCGGUAGCUGGUCUGAGAGGAUGAUCAGCCACAUUGGGACUGAGACACGGCCCAAACUCCUACGGGAGGCAGCAGUGGGGAAUCUUGCGCAAUGGGCGAAAGCCUGACGCAGCCAUGCCGCGUGAAUGAUGAAGGUCUUAGGAUUGUAAAAUUCUUUCACCGGGGACGAUAAUGACGGUACCCGGAGAAGAAGCCCCGGCUAACUUCGUGCCAGCAGCCGCGGUAAUACGA